GGGAUGGUAACUCAGCUCGGGAGAGUGCACGACUGAAGCUCGUGAUGUCGGGGGUUCAAAUCCCCCCCGUCCCA
This 74-nucleotide transfer RNA is filed under the name Candidatus Woesearchaeota archaeon. RNAcentral describes it as "tRNA-Phe". It matches the Rfam family "tRNA". From Rfam's summary of the family: Transfer RNA (tRNA) molecules are approximately 80 nucleotides in length. Their secondary structure includes four short double-helical elements and three loops (D, anti-codon, and T loops). Lineage: Archaea; Nanobdellati; Candidatus Woesearchaeota. The record is from RNAcentral.